Molecule: long non-coding RNA, 401 nt
Organism: Mauremys mutica (yellowpond turtle)
Lineage: Eukaryota; Metazoa; Chordata; Testudines; Geoemydidae
Exons: 3
Source: RefSeq, a predicted model, not a curated record
GGCUCAAUCCUGCAAAUCCAUGAAUCUCUGGGGUGGCCCCCUGGGUGUCACCAGCAGAGCUUUUGAUGUGCUACGGAAACAAUUUAACCAGACUUACUCAUUUGGAGUUCACUCAAGGAGAAAAGGAAUCUUGGUGAUAUAUUCUCUUGAUAUAAGGUUGUUUCUAGUUUUCAAAAAACUAGUGGACACCAGACAAACCUAGAGUUCUUGCAAGUUCAAAAUGUAAACUCCAAAUGUGACAUUUUCUGCAAUCUUUCCUGGCGACGUCAUGGCAUCAAUCAACAUGCAGAAUGCAAAUCUACACAUCCAAAUUGCUGCCACUCCAUGGAAAGUCCUUUGCUUUAGUGGCAGAUCAGAAACACUUCCAGCACAUGAUCUUUCCCCUCAAGCUGGCUAUGGCC